Sapajus apella (tufted capuchin) is the source of this 124-nucleotide long non-coding RNA. RefSeq lists it as uncharacterized. The transcript has 2 exons. The record is from RefSeq and is a predicted model, not a curated record. Lineage: Eukaryota; Metazoa; Chordata; Mammalia; Primates; Cebidae.
ACAUUUCCACCUGGCUGGGGAGGCCUCACAAUCAUGGCAGAAGGCAAGGAGGAGCAAGUCAUAGCAAGUCUUACAUGGAUGGCAGCAGGCAAAGAGAGGGCUUAUGCAGAGAAAGUCCCAUUUU